Molecule: ribosomal RNA, 497 nt
Filed under: uncultured bacterium
Lineage: Bacteria
Description: partial 16S ribosomal RNA
Rfam family: Bacterial small subunit ribosomal RNA
Source: RNAcentral
GAUGAACGCUGGCGGCGUGCCUAAUACAUGCAAGUCGAGCGAACAGAUGAGGAGCUUGCUCCUCUGACGUUAGCGGCGGACGGGUGAGUAACACGUGGAUAACCUACCUAUAAGACUGGGAUAACUUCGGGAAACCGGAGCUAAUACCGGAUAAUAUAUUGAACCGCAUGGUUCAAUAGUGAAAGACGGUUUUGCUGUCACUUAUAGAUGGAUCCGCGCCGCAUUAGCUAGUUGGUAAGGUAACGGCUUACCAAGGCAACGAUGCGUAGCCGAACUGAGAGGGUGAUCGGCCACACUGGAGCUGAGACGCGGUCCAGACUCCUACGGGAGGCAGCAGUAGGGAAUCUUCCGCAAUGGGCGAAAGCCUGACGGAGCAACGCCGCGUGAGUGAUGAAGGUCUUCGGAUCGUAAAACUCUGUUAUUAGGGAAGAACAAAUGUGUAAGUAACUAUGCACGUCUUGACGGUACCUAAUCAGAAAGCCACGGCUAACUACGUG